CAGACCUGAAAUCAGGCGAGGUUACCCGCUGAACUUAAGCGUAUUAUUAAGCGGAGGAGAAGAAAAUAACUAUGAUUCCCUUAGUAACGGCGAGUGAACCGGGAUCAGCUCAAAGUGGAAAUCAACUGCUCUUUCCGAGCUGUUGGCUUGUAGCCUCGAGAGGCGUUACCAGUGGAAGCGCAGGGUUAAGUUUCUUGGGAAAGAACAUCAUAGAGGGUGAGAAUCCCGUCCUUCCCCUGCGUUUUUUGUUCCACGUACGGUACGCUUUUAUAGAGUCGCGUUCAUCGGGAUUUGAGCGCAAAAUGUGUGGUAGGUUUCACAUAAAGCUAAGUACUGGCGCGAGACCGAUAGCAAACAAGUACCGUGAGGGAAAGAUGAAAAGUUCUUUGGAAAGAGAGUUAAAAGUGCCUGAAAUUGCUGAAAAGGAAGCGAUUGGGACCUUUUUGAUUCCAAGAAGUGCCGCCGGUUUGCCAUCUAUCCCUUUGCCUUCUCUCUCUCACCAGGUUUAGGCUUUGGUUUCUUGAUGUAUUUCCGGUUCAUCUUUUUGGAGAGGUCAGCAUCAGCUACUCGGAAUUGAUUUCGUUCAAAGAAGGUAGGUUCCUUGUGGACCGUUAUAUCUUUGUUCUUUCCUUUUCCUUGUGGCUGAGGAGUGUUCCUGUUUCCGAGCUCCACUUUCGAGUACUCGGUUUCUGUGAUGCUGGCUUAAUCGGUUCCAACCGACCCGUCUUGAAACACGGACCAAGGAGUCUAACAUAUGUGCGAGUAUGCGGGUUUUACUCCUGUAUGCGCAAUGAAAGUGAGAGUAGGGAGAUUUUGGCUUUGCCAUUCUUCGCACCUACGACCGACCACGAUCUCUGAGAGAGGUUUGAGUUGGAGCAUAUCUGUUAGGACCCCGAAGAUGGUGAACUAUGCCUGAGUAGAAUGAAGUCAGGGGAAACCCUGAUGGAGGGUCGUAGCGAUACUGACGUGCAAAUCGUUCGUCAAACUUGG
Molecule: ribosomal RNA, 990 nt
Organism: Toxoplasma gondii ME49
Lineage: Eukaryota; Apicomplexa; Conoidasida; Eucoccidiorida; Sarcocystidae
Source: RefSeq, a predicted model, not a curated record